This is a non-coding RNA of Danio rerio (zebrafish), 46 nucleotides long. Lineage: Eukaryota; Metazoa; Chordata; Actinopteri; Cypriniformes; Danionidae. The record is from Rfam.
CCAACGGUACUUUUCAGUGCCACCAAAAUUACGGUAAAAUAGCACU